Molecule: long non-coding RNA, 217 nt
Filed under: Mytilus galloprovincialis (Mediterranean mussel)
Lineage: Eukaryota; Metazoa; Mollusca; Bivalvia; Mytilida; Mytilidae
Source: RNAcentral
CUUUACUGAAAUGACUUCUAAUGAUAAAGGGGAGGUGUCCUGAUCGCGAAAUCCUGGGCUUAAAAACAUGAAAUCCCAAGGGCCCGAAUUUAAAGAAAUUAAAAUCCCAACAUUAUGAAAUUAGAAAAAAGAAUUCCCUGAUCCCGAAAGGAUGAACCCCUGAAAUCCCGAGCUUAAAAACACCCGAUCUCAGAGUCCUGAUAAAGGUCGAACCCCC